Molecule: long non-coding RNA, 887 nt
Organism: Aquila chrysaetos chrysaetos
Lineage: Eukaryota; Metazoa; Chordata; Aves; Accipitriformes; Accipitridae
Exons: 3
Source: RefSeq, a predicted model, not a curated record
AUUUCAUCCAGGUCUCUUUUUGCCUACUGGUGAGGCUGUGAAGGCGCUAGAAAAGUGGCUCACUCUGGGGGAAACGAAAUUAGAGCCCAAACGGCCAUUGGAAGGGAAAAGACCAUUUUUCCAUCACUUUCAAUAGCAGCUCAGUACCCAGUGACCCCAGAGAGUGAGGGCAGGCUCCAGGCUGUCCAUCUGCAGCUCCUAGCAAAGCUCCCCUGCUUGCUGCAGUCGGCACCCAGCACAUCCUGGCCUCGGCACACGCUGAAACCCCCGGCAAAACAACCCACGACAUCGACCCGCAAGCCGAUGAACCCGUAUCACCCUGGGUCCCCUCCUGCAGCUCAGGGAGGACCAGGCACUGGGCUAAAUGCUGGUGCAGAAAAGAAAUUUGCCUGCCUUUAAGGCUGAGCCCUGGGAGGUGGCCGGCAACCCCACGGCGAUGCCCUCUGCAAGCCGUAACACAGCCUGUGGACCUGGGGCGAUCUGGCGUCCUGCUCCCGGCAGUGGGGUUCACACACUCUCUGCAGCUUUCCCUUCUAUAUAAAUACAUUAAUAAAAGAUCAGUUUGCAGACGCAGCUUGCUGUAGAUGACAGCAUUAGAGGCGCAUCUGUUUCUGCUAAGCACCAGUCUCGUGCUGGGUUUAUUUGGUCCAUUUGCGGCGGGGAAGAGUUGCUUUCGGCAUUCAGAGAUGUCUCGUGUCUGGGUGAAGAGGGGGGGAGAUAUAUUUUUGGCUCUAUUUAGCCACAAAAAUUUGGUUUUAGAAUAAAGAAAAAUAUUCCUGUUUUCUGUUUGCUGCCAAAACUGAGGCAGACGAUUUCUUGUGCAAGCCUUCAUUUGUUUGAGAACUCGGUGUCCUGUUGGAAAAAUAAAUGUUCUGAUGGGAAAAGUC